RNAcentral lists this ribosomal RNA (253 nucleotides) under uncultured bacterium. RNAcentral's name for it is "partial 16S ribosomal RNA". It matches the Rfam family "Bacterial small subunit ribosomal RNA", at positions 524 to 776 of the family's 1533-position model. The record is from RNAcentral.
UACGAAGGGUCCAAGCGUUAUCCGGAUUUAUUGGGUUUAAAGGGUGCGUAGGCGGCUUAUUAAGUCAGUGGUGAAAGACUUCAGCUUAACUGAAGAACUGCCAUUGAUACUGCUGAGCUUGAAUGUAGUUGAGGUGGGCGGAAUGUGUCAUGUAGCGGUGAAAUGCUUAGAUAUGACACAGAACACCGAUUGCGAAGGCAGCUCGCUAAACUAUGAUUGACGCUGAUGCACGAAAGCGUGGGGAGCAAACAGG